This 253-nucleotide ribosomal RNA is filed under the name uncultured bacterium. RNAcentral describes it as "partial 16S ribosomal RNA". It matches the Rfam family "Bacterial small subunit ribosomal RNA", at positions 524 to 776 of the family's 1533-position model. The record is from RNAcentral.
UACAGAGGGUGCAAGCGUUAAUCGGAAUUACUGGGCGUAAAGCGUGCGUAGACGGUAGCGUAAGUCGGGUGUGGAAGCCCCGGGCUCAACCUGGGAACUGCAUUUGUGACUGCAUGGCUAGAGUUUGGCAGAGGGGGGUAGAAUUCCACGUGUAGCAGUGAAAUGCGUAGAGAUGCGGAGGAACACCGAUGGCGAAGGCAGCCCCCUGGGCUGACACUGACGCUCAGGCACGAAAGCGUGGGGAGCAAACAGG